CCGAUGAAUGGCGAUACGAAGGUCGCGCCUGCUUUUGCUGCGAGCAGAGCCUGAUUGGCCGAGAAGCAGAGCGUCACGUUGGUCUUGUGACCAUCGGA
RNAcentral lists this transfer RNA (98 nucleotides) under Brucella sp. NBRC 12950. Its description in RNAcentral is "tRNA-Ser". The record is from RNAcentral. Lineage: Bacteria; Pseudomonadati; Pseudomonadota; Alphaproteobacteria; Hyphomicrobiales; Brucellaceae. RNAcentral also lists the same sequence under 3 other names.